RNAcentral lists this long non-coding RNA (451 nucleotides) under Brachypodium distachyon (stiff brome). Its description in RNAcentral is "long non-coding RNA (BDIS_LNC002913)". The record is from RNAcentral. Lineage: Eukaryota; Viridiplantae; Streptophyta; Magnoliopsida; Poales; Poaceae.
UGGGGAGGAUUCAGUUGUCACUUCCUACGGUGAUAAAACAGAUUGCAUUGCAAUUGUGUUGCUGCCGGACAAAAGAAAAUCUUUUCUCUGUUCUUAUGGCUGGUCGUCCUGAUGAUGCAUAGAUUUGGUGAUUGUUCAGAGUAUUCCAAGAUCGAAAUUGGGGACAUUGACAACAGAAGCGACAGGAGAACAGGUAAGCUCCUAUUCAGAGUAUACUUAUAUAUAUUGGUCUUUUUAAUGCUUAUGUGUGAUUUAGUUUCUGAGUACUGGUGUAGUACAGAUUUAGGUUCAAGCUCCUUUUUUUUCAGAUUUUUUUUAGGGCCAAACAAAUGCAUGUUGCGUAGCUGCAGACCAGGAGUUGGUACUUUAACCUGAACACAUGGGAUUACUUGAUUUUUACCAAUGUAGUAUAAGAAUCUAAACUUCUGACAAAGGAGAGAGAAACAAGUAG